CCGCCCGUCACGUCAUGAAAUGGGCAACACCUGAAGCCGGUGGCUUAACCUCUUCUUCGGAAGAGGAGAGAACUGUCGAGGGUGGGUUCAUGAUUGGGGCG
RNAcentral lists this ribosomal RNA (101 nucleotides) under uncultured bacterium. RNAcentral's name for it is "partial 16S ribosomal RNA". The record is from RNAcentral.